CUUCAGGUCAAAGUGAGCAGAUAAACUAGACAGUCUACUGUCUACUGUCAAAUAGAUAGCUUCUAAAAGCAAACACUUAAGCAAAACUUGGAGAAAAUUUAAUGUUACAGUUUCAUAUCAAAGUGUGACUGUGGGGUAUUAAUAUUGAACUCAUCUGCUUCUUUCAUACUCAAAUAAUGUCAAACUCAGAUGCAACUCGUGGUCUUCGCUUUUACAACAAGGUUGCUAUAGUUACAGGGGGAUGUAGGGGGAUUGGACGUGGUUGUGUGGAUGUGUUGGCGGAACAUGGAGGAAAAAUUGCAGUCUUAGACUUAGACGAUGAAGUUGGAG
This is a long non-coding RNA of Ruditapes philippinarum (Manila clam), 330 nucleotides long. RefSeq lists it as uncharacterized. The transcript has 4 exons. The record is from RefSeq and is a predicted model, not a curated record. Lineage: Eukaryota; Metazoa; Mollusca; Bivalvia; Venerida; Veneridae.